RNAcentral lists this ribosomal RNA (253 nucleotides) under uncultured prokaryote. RNAcentral's name for it is "partial 16S ribosomal RNA". It matches the Rfam family "Bacterial small subunit ribosomal RNA", at positions 524 to 776 of the family's 1533-position model. The record is from RNAcentral.
UACGUAGGGUGCGAGCGUUAAUCGGAAUUACUGGGCGUAAAGUGUGCGCAGGCGGCCGAGCAAGUCGAGUGUGAAAGCCCCGAGCUUAACUUGGGAACUGCGCUCGAAACUACUUGGCUAGAGUGUGGCAGAGGGAGGUGGAAUUCCACGUGUAGCGGUGAAAUGCGUAGAGAUGUGGAGGAACACCGAUGGCGAAGGCGGCCCCCUGGACCGGUACUGACGCUGAUGCGCGAAAGCGUGGGUAGCAAACGGG